CACACGAGACAUACUUUUCAAGGAGGCACCAGGCAAGUGGAGACAACGGAAAGCACUGGCAAGUCAAAGCUUGGUUAAAAGCUUUCAUGUGAGACCUAAUGGCAUCUUUUCCCAUGCAGGUCAGCUACGGUGACGAUAAACCAUGCUCAAAAGCUUCACUGCAUGAGAACGCCACAUGCAAAAGAUUAGAAGCUGCAGAGAUAUAAAUUCAUCUCAGCCCAGAAAUCCUUCCCUGUGUGUACUGACUGGAGUUCCGAGACUGCAGAGCCAGAAUCAUUCUCCUCCUCUGGGUGCAGUCUAGGAGAUGGACACCUCCAACCACGCACACUUCCACAGCUCUUCCUUUCUCAUCAAGUCAGGCCUUGACACAGGAGAUGUUUUUGUCCCCUCUUUUUCCUGAGGUUACCCCCCGCUGCCUCUGUUGCCGUGUUUUACUUGACCACUAACAAAAAACUAGUUCUCAAUAAUUCAGCCUGGGAUUCUUCACGUAGUAAUGUAACGCGAGGAGCUGGGGCUUUCCAGAAGAACAACCGUUUUGCUAAGGAAACACGCCAUUUGGGAUGGGGACUCUACACAGCUCCUAAGCAGAAGGUGGUGGGGCUCUCACGUCCCUCUGCUCCCAGGCAGGGUCUCCAACACAGUUACCUUGAUUUGCAUUUCUCUUUUGCCUACUUGCAAGCACACCCCCUUCAGGGCACUUCUCAUCCCAGUCUCAGUCCUGUAAGAAAGGCUGUGGCAAAUCCACCUGCAGAAAACACUGCCAUUCCCUUUAGAAACAAAGAAACCACUCUGCCCUUGCUCCUGAGCCUGGUCCCUGCCUCUACCUGCAGGGCUUGGCUGUCCUGCCUCUGUUCGUGGGCCACUAAAUGAAAUGCAGACAACAGAGACAAAAAGAGGCAGAGGACUGGCACUAAUACUUCUCUCUUGGCGGGAAUCUCAACAGAAAGUGCUGUGCUAAAGCUGUGAGGUUCAAGGAACACCCCUAUCAAGGCAAAAGACGUAGUAUGGAAGGUUUGGUUAGUCUUCUGACUAGAAGAAGAGAAAGGACUAUUACCUCCUAUUUUAUUUUUCUUUCAGUCUCUCUCGUCAUGUAAAUCUGAGGAUGACCAAAGCCUGUUGCCCCAAGCAUUGCUGAACCCAUCAAAAUGGUUGCUCAGAGGUAUUGCACCGGCACAUCGCACAGAAGAACUGUGUAACCUAAGUAGCAAGGGGAGAAGAAAGGGGAGCGGCUAACAUUCA
Molecule: long non-coding RNA, 1239 nt
Organism: Gallus gallus (chicken)
Lineage: Eukaryota; Metazoa; Chordata; Aves; Galliformes; Phasianidae
Source: Ensembl